RNAcentral lists this unclassified non-coding RNA (3302 nucleotides) under Stegodyphus dumicola. RNAcentral's name for it is "neurofibromin-like, transcript variant X2". The record is from RNAcentral. Lineage: Eukaryota; Metazoa; Arthropoda; Arachnida; Araneae; Eresidae.
UUGUCCAAUAUGCCAGGCUGUACUGCUUCAUUACCCUUAGAUGCUCGUAAAGGUAGUAUGCUGACCCCUGGACAAGAUAUGCAGUAUUGUCCUGUUACACAGUUUGUUGGUCAGCUCCUACGUUUAUUGGUAUGCCACAAUGAAAAAUUUGGUACUCAGAUUCAGAAACAUGUUAAGGAAUUAGUAGCCCACGAAAUGAGUCCUACACUUUAUCCAAUUUUAUUUGACCAAAUAAAAGCUAUUGUGGAAAAAUUCUUUGAUUCUCAAGGACAAGUUGUUGUUACUGAACCAAACACACAAUUUAUAGAACAUAUAAUUUUUAUUCUGAAAAGUGUACUCGAGAAUAAAGUCGAUCAUACUGCAGAACAUCUUGGUGUUAGCAGUAUUGAGGGAAUGAUGUUAGCUAUUGUAAGAUAUGUACGACACUUGGAUACCACAGUUCAUGCCAUUCAGAUCAAAACAAAACUAUGCCAACUUGUUGAAGCUAUGAUGGUGCGAAGAGAUGAUUUAGCCUUCCGUCAAGAAAUGAAAUUCCGUAAUAAACUUGUAGAAUAUUUGACAGAUUGGGUAAUGGGUAAUAGCCAUCAGCUUGCUCCACCGAAUUCUGGUGAUGUAACGACUUUAACAAGAGACCUAGAUCAAUCUUGUAUGCAAGCUGUUGCAGCUUUAUUGAGAGGCUUACCACUGCAGCCAGAGGAGAGUGAUAGAGGAGAUUUAAUGGAAGCUAAAUCACAAUUAUUCCUGAAGUAUUUCUCUCUGUUCAUGAACUUGUUAAAUGAAUGUGGUGAUUCAACUGAAGAAAAAGAUGUUUCACGCCACAGGGUCCAUGUGUCCAGGUUAAGUGAGCUGAGAACAUGCACUAUUCAAGCAAUGUCUAAUCUUUUGAGUGCCAAUGUUGAUAGUGGAUUGAUGCAUUCCAUAAGUUUAGGAUAUCAUAAAGAUCUUCAAACAAGAGCAGCAUUUAUGGAAGUUUUGACAAAAAUUCUCCAACAAGGUACAGAAUUUGAUAUGCUUGCUGAAACUGUAUUAGCUGACAGAUAUGAGCAGUUGGUUCAACUUGUUACUAUGAUUGGGGAUAAAGGAGAGCUACCAAUAGCAAUGGCAUUGGCUAGUGUUGUUAUGAGUCCACAAAUGGAUGAACUAGCGAGGGUUUUUGUUACACUUUUUGAUGCUAAGCAUUUAUUGGCUCCAUUACUUUGGAAUAUGUUUUAUAAAGAGGUUGAAGUUACAGAUUGUAUGCAAACCCUCUUUCGUGGAAAUAGUCUAGGAAGCAAAAUUAUGGCAUUUUGUUUUAAAAUAUAUGGAGCAAGCUAUUUGUUAAGUUUACUGGACCCAUUGAUAAGUCCAUUACUGGACCAACCCAAUAUAAGUUACGAGGUUGAUCCCGCACGUCUUGAAGAAGGUGAAGAUGUUGAAGAAAAUAGACGAAAUUUAUUAUCAAUCACUCAAAAAGUGUUUAAUGCCAUAGUCUCAUCAGCUGACAGGUUUCCAUUACAGUUGAGGAGCAUGUGCCAUUGUUUAUAUCAAGUGCUAAAUAAAAGAUUUCCGAAUUUUCCUCAUAAUAUCAGUGCUGUAGGAACUGUGAUAUUUCUUCGUUUUAUUAAUCCUGCAAUUGUUUCUCCAUUUGAAAUGGGAAUAGUUGACAAACAGCCAUCUGGUCGCACAAAAAGAGGAUUGAUGCUAAUGUCCAAAAUAUUGCAGAAUAUUGCAAAUCAUGUAGAAUUCAGCAAAGAACAACAUAUGCUUCCAUUUAAUGACUUUUUACGUGCCAAUUUUGAACAUGGAAGAAGGUGGGUGGUACAGAUCACUUCAGAUUUGGAAUCCAUGGAUCAAACUAGUCACAGCAUGUCUUUCAUUAGUGAUGCCAAUGUUCAUGCUCUUCAUCGACUUCUGUGGAACCACCAAGAAAAGAUUGGAGAUUAUCUUUCCAGCUCACGUGACCAUAAAGCAGUUGGACGUCGACCUUUUGAUAAAAUGGCUACUUUGUUAGCUUAUUUAGGUCCUCCAGAACAUAAACCUGUCGAUUCACAGUGGAGUAGCAUGGACAUGACUAGCACAAAGUUUGAAGAAAUCAUGUCCAAACACAAUAUGCAUGAAAAAGAUGAAUUCAAAUCGAUAAAAUCUCUUAAUAUAUUUUAUCAGGCUGGAACUUCUAAAAGUGGUCAUCCAGUAUUUUAUUUUAUAGCUAGGCGUUAUAAAAUUGGAGAGACAAAUGGUGAUCUUCUAAUUUAUCAUGUGAUUCUAACUUUGAAACCUUUCUGUCAUAAACCUUUUGAACUUGUUGUGGACUUUACUCACACCAGUACUGAAAACAGAUUCAGAACAGAGUUCCUUCAGAAGUGGUUUGUAGUCCUGCCAGAAGUUGCUUAUGAGAAAACACAAGCAGCAUACAUAUAUAAUUGUAAUUCAUGGGUUAGAGAGUAUACUAAAUUUCAUGAUAGAGUUUUGACUCCUCUAAAAGGUUGUCGAAAGCUUAUUUUUUUGGACACACCACAGAGGCUUAAUGAUUACAUUGAUGUUGAGCAUCAACGUCUUCCGGGUGCAACACUUUCUUUAGAUGAAGAUUUAAAAGUGUUCAAUAAUGCUUUGAAGUUAUCUCACAAAGACACUAAAGUUGCUAUAAAGGUGGGUCCCACUGCUAUUCAAGUAACUUCAGCUGAGAAAACAAAAGUUAUUGGUCAUUCGGUACUUCUAAAUGAUGUAUAUUAUGCAUCAGAAAUUGAAGAAGUUUGUCUUGUAGAUGACAAUCAAUUUACAUUAACUAUUGCGAAUGAAAGUGGCCCUUUGUCCUUUAUCCACAAUGAUUGUGAUAGCAUUGUUCAAGCAAUUAUUCAUAUCCGAACUCGGUGGGAAUUAUCACAGCCUGAUUCUGUGACUGUCCACACAAAGAUCAGGCCAAAGGAUGUACCUGGUACGCUUCUAAAUAUGGCUUUGCUGAAUCUUGGUAGUUCUGAUCCAAAUCUGAGGACUACUGCUUAUAACCUACUAUGUGCUCUUACUGGUACAUUUGAUCUUAAAAUUGAAGGGCAGCUUUUAGAGACUGCAGGAUACAGACAAGUUACUGAUAAUCUUUGAAGAAAAUCUGAAAUCUUCAGAGGACAUAUUCUUUUUUCAUUUAUUUCUCCUUGCAUUGUAAAGGCUACAAAUGAUGGAAUAAAUUAGAAGAUUAUGCAUACCAUCCAACAACACAAUAUUCAUCAAACAGAUCAGUGAGAAAUUAGCACAGAAUGCCUCUCACUUGACUCUGGAAUUUUUGGAAGAAUGUAUUCAGGGGUUCCGUUCUUCAACCAUAGAGCUAAAAC